RNAcentral lists this long non-coding RNA (239 nucleotides) under Gossypium barbadense (sea-island cotton). RNAcentral describes it as "long non-coding RNA (GBAR_LNC020194)". The record is from RNAcentral. Lineage: Eukaryota; Viridiplantae; Streptophyta; Magnoliopsida; Malvales; Malvaceae.
GGGCAUUGCUGAGCUUGUGAACCAUCCUGAGAUCCAGCAGAAACUCCGCAACGAAAUCGACACCGUCCUAGGACCCGGCGUGCAGGUUACCGAACCCGACACCCAUAAGCUUCCAUAUCUGCAGGCAGUGAUCAAGGAGACUCUCAGGCUCCGAAUGGCCAUCCCUCUACUAGUCCCACACAUGAACCUCCAUGAUGCAAAGCUUGGUGGGUAUGACAUCCCUGCAGAGAGUAAGAUCC